UCCGGUUUGGCACCGGCAGUCUCUCUAGAGUCCCCGCCAUGACGCGCUGGCAACUAGAGACGAGGGUUGCGCUCGUUGCGGGACUUAACCCAACAUCUCACGACACGAGCUGACGACAGCCAUGCAGCACCUGUGCACGGGUCCCGAAGGAGGCCCCCCGUUUCCGGGGGGUUUCCCGUACAUGUCAAGCCCAGGUAAGGUUCUUCGCGUUGCGUCGAAUUAAACCACAUGCUCCACCGCUUGUGCGGGCCCCCGUCAAUUCCUUUGAGUUUCAGCCUUGCGGCCGUACUCCCCAGGCGGGGCACUUAAUGCGUUAGCGCCGGCACCCGGGGGGUCGCUCCCCCAAGCACCUAGUGCCCAUCGUUUACGGCGUGGACUAC
Molecule: unclassified non-coding RNA, 380 nt
Filed under: uncultured Gemmatimonadaceae bacterium
Lineage: Bacteria; Pseudomonadati; Gemmatimonadota; Gemmatimonadia; Gemmatimonadales; Gemmatimonadaceae
Description: contains 16S-23S intergenic spacer region
Source: RNAcentral